Molecule: ribosomal RNA, 253 nt
Filed under: uncultured bacterium
Lineage: Bacteria
Description: partial 16S ribosomal RNA
Rfam family: Bacterial small subunit ribosomal RNA
Source: RNAcentral
UACGUAGGGUGCGAGCGUUAAUCGGAAUUACUGGGCGUAAAGCGUGCGCAGGCGGUUUUGUAAGCCAGAUGUGAAAUCCCCGGGCUUAACCUGGGAAUGGCAUUUGGGACUGCAAAGCUUGAGUGUGGCAGAGGGGACUGGAAUUCCUGGUGUAGCAGUGAAAUGCGUAGAGAUCAGGAGGAAUACCGAUGGCGAAGGCAGGUCCCUGGGCUGACACUGACGCUCAUGCACGAAAGCGUGGGGAGCAAACACG